RNAcentral lists this ribosomal RNA (825 nucleotides) under Sphaerulina sp. CBS 128758. Its description in RNAcentral is "eukaryotic LSU rRNA". It matches the Rfam family "Eukaryotic large subunit ribosomal RNA", at positions 71 to 925 of the family's 3401-position model. Lineage: Eukaryota; Fungi; Ascomycota; Dothideomycetes; Mycosphaerellales; Mycosphaerellaceae. The record is from RNAcentral.
GGGAUUGCCCUAGUAACGGCGAGUGAAGCGGCAACAGCUCAAAUUUGAAAUCUGGCGCAAGCCCGAGUUGUAAUUUGUAGAGGAUGCUUCUGGGUAGCGACCGGUCUAAGUUCCUUGGAACAGGACGUCAUAGAGGGUGAGAAUCCCGUAUGUGACCGGCCCGCACCCUUGACGUAGCUCCUUCGACGAGUCGAGUUGUUUGGGAAUGCAGCUCUAAAUGGGAGGUAAAUUUCUUCUAAAGCUAAAUACCGGCCAGAGACCGAUAGCGCACAAGUAGAGUGAUCGAAAGAUGAAAAGUACUUUGGAAAGAGAGUUAAAAAGCACGUGAAAUUGUUGAAAGGGAAGCGCCUGCAAUCAGACUUCGCGGCAGUGUUCCGCCGGUCUUCUGACCGGUUCAUUCUCUGUCGCGAGGCCAUCAUCGUCUCGGCCCGCUGGAUAAGACCUUGGGAAUGUAGCUCACCUUCGGGGGAGUGUUAUAGCUCAUGGUGAUGCAGCGAGGCUGGGGCGAGGUCCGCGCUUCGGCAAGGAUGAUGGCGUAAUGGUUGUCGGCGGCCCGUCUUGAAACACGGACCAAGGAGUCUAACAUCUAUGCGAGUGUUCGGGUGUCAAACCCCUACGCGUAAUGAAAGUGAACGGAGGUGGGAACCGCAAGGUGCACCAUCGACCGAUCCUGAUGUCCUCGGAUGGAUUUGAGUAAGAGCAUAGCUGUUGGGACCCGAAAGAUGGUGAACUAUGCCUGAAUAGGGUGAAGCCAGAGGAAACUCUGGUGGAGGCUCGCAGCGGUUCUGACGUGCAAAUCGAUCGUCAAAUUUGGGUAUAGGGGCG